GCACUACUGAGGAGUCCCACAAUAGGACGAAACGGCCGUCCAGUAA
RNAcentral lists this non-coding RNA (46 nucleotides) under Schistosoma margrebowiei. The record is from RNAcentral. Lineage: Eukaryota; Metazoa; Platyhelminthes; Trematoda; Strigeidida; Schistosomatidae.